GCCUGAGUGGCUCAGUCAGUUGAGCAUCCAACUUCGGCUCAGGUCAUGAUCUCACAGUUUGUGGGUUCGAGCCCCACGUCAGGCU
This 85-nucleotide transfer RNA is filed under the name Felis catus (domestic cat). It matches the Rfam family "tRNA". From Rfam's summary of the family: Transfer RNA (tRNA) molecules are approximately 80 nucleotides in length. Their secondary structure includes four short double-helical elements and three loops (D, anti-codon, and T loops). The record is from Rfam by way of RNAcentral. RNAcentral also lists the same sequence under 1 other name. Lineage: Eukaryota; Metazoa; Chordata; Mammalia; Carnivora; Felidae.